Molecule: ribosomal RNA, 466 nt
Filed under: uncultured bacterium
Lineage: Bacteria
Description: bacterial SSU rRNA
Rfam family: Bacterial small subunit ribosomal RNA
Source: RNAcentral
UCCAGACUCCUACGGGAGGCAGCAGUGAGGAAUAUUGGUCAAUGGGCGCGAGCCUGAACCAGCCAAGUCGCGUGAGGGAUGACGGCCCUACGGGUUGUAAACCUCUUUUGCCGGGGAGCAACGGGCGCCACGUGUGGCGCCACUGAGAGUACCCGGAGAAAAAGCAUCGGCUAACUCCGUGCCAGCAGCCGCGGUAAUACGGAGGAUGCGAGCGUUAUCCGGAUUUACUGGGUGUAAAGGGAGCGUAGACGGCAGCGCAAGUCUGGAGUGAAAUCCCAUGGCUUAACCAUGGAACUGCUUUGGAAACUGUGCAGCUGGAGUGCAGGAGAGGUAAGCGGAAUUCCUAGUGUAGCGGUGAAAUGCGUAGAUAUUAGGAGGAACACCAGUGGCGAAGGCGGCUUACUGGACUGUAACUGACGUUGAGGCUCGAAGGCGUGGGGAGCAAACAGGAUUAGAUACCCGUGUA